This 74-nucleotide transfer RNA is filed under the name Candidatus Nomurabacteria bacterium. RNAcentral's name for it is "tRNA-Trp". It matches the Rfam family "tRNA". From Rfam's summary of the family: Transfer RNA (tRNA) molecules are approximately 80 nucleotides in length. Their secondary structure includes four short double-helical elements and three loops (D, anti-codon, and T loops). The record is from RNAcentral. Lineage: Bacteria; Candidatus Nomuraibacteriota. RNAcentral also lists the same sequence under 1 other name.
AGGGGCGUCGUAUAAUGGUAGUACAACGGUCUCCAAAACCGUUUGUGAGGGUUCGAUUCCUUCCGCCCCUGCCA